This 497-nucleotide ribosomal RNA is filed under the name uncultured bacterium. Its description in RNAcentral is "partial 16S ribosomal RNA". It matches the Rfam family "Bacterial small subunit ribosomal RNA", at positions 28 to 507 of the family's 1533-position model. The record is from RNAcentral.
GAUGAACGCUGGCGGCGUGCCUAAUACAUGCAAGUCGAGCGAACAGACGAGGAGCUUGCUCCUCUGACGUUAGCGGCGGACGGGUGAGUAACACGUGGAUAACCUACCUAUAAGACUGGGAUAACUUCGGGGAACCGGAGCUAAUACCGGAUAAUAUAUUGAACCGCAUGGUUCAAUAGUGAAAGACGGUUUUGCUGUCACUUAUAGAUGGAUCCGCGCCGCAUUAGCUAGUUGGUAAGGUAACGGCUUACCAAGGCAACGAUGCGUAGCCGUCCUGAGAGGGUGAUCGGCCACAUGGGAACUGAGACACGUUCCAGACUCCUACGGGAGGCAGCAGUAGGGAAUCUUCCGCAAAGGGCGAAAGCUUGACGGAGCAACGCCGCGUGAGUGAUGAAGGUCUUCGGAUCGUAAAACUCUGUUAUUAGGGAAGAACAAAUGUGUAAGUAACUAUGCACGUCUUGACGGUACCUAAUCAGAAAGCCACGGCUAACUACGUG